Non-coding RNA from Phlebotomus papatasi, 108 nucleotides. The record is from Rfam. Lineage: Eukaryota; Metazoa; Arthropoda; Insecta; Diptera; Psychodidae.
GUUCUUACUUCGGAAGAACAUAUACUACAAUUGGAACAAUCCAGAGAAGAUUUAGCAUGGCCCCUGCGCAUGGAUGACACGCAAGAUCGUGAAGCCAUCGCCGUCUUC